UCCGAGUUGACCCCGGCAGUCUCCUAUGAGUCCCCGGCACGACCCGCUGGCAACAUAGGACAAGGGUUGCGCUCGUUGCGGGACUUAACCCAACAUCUCACGACACGAGCUGACGACAACCAUGCACCACCUGUACACAGUCCCAAAAAGGACCCGAUAUCUCUACCGGAUUACUGCGUAUGUCAAGCCUUGGUAAGGUUCUUCGCGUUGCGUCGAAUUAAGCCACAUGCUCCGCCGCUUGUGCGGGCCCCCGUCAAUUCCUUUGAGUUUUAGCCUUGCGGCCGUACUCCCCAGGCGGGGCGCUUAAUGCGUUAGCUACGGCACAGAGGACGUGGAAAAAUCCCCCACACCUAGCGCCCAACGUUUACAGCGUGGACUAC
Molecule: unclassified non-coding RNA, 380 nt
Filed under: uncultured Actinomycetes bacterium
Lineage: Bacteria; Bacillati; Actinomycetota; Actinomycetes
Description: uncultured actinobacterium contains 16S-23S intergenic spacer region
Source: RNAcentral